RNAcentral lists this ribosomal RNA (1052 nucleotides) under Burkholderia sp. Its description in RNAcentral is "bacterial SSU rRNA". It matches the Rfam family "Bacterial small subunit ribosomal RNA", at positions 15 to 1057 of the family's 1533-position model. Lineage: Bacteria; Pseudomonadati; Pseudomonadota; Betaproteobacteria; Burkholderiales; Burkholderiaceae. The record is from RNAcentral.
AUUCCUGGCUCAGAUGAACCGUGGCGGCAUGCCUUACACAAUGCAAGUCGACGCCAGCACGGGUGCUUGCACUUGGUGGCGAGUGGCGAACGGGUGAGUAAUACAUCGGAACCAUGUCCUGUAGUGGGGGAUAGCCCGGCGAAAGCCCGGAUUAAUACCGCAUACGAUCCAUGGAUGAAAGCGGGGGACCUUCGGGCCUCGCGCUAUAGGGUUGGCCGAUGGCUGAUUAGCUAGUUGGUGGGGUAAAGGCCUACCCAAGGCGACGAUCAGUAGCUGGUCUGAGAGGACGACCAGCCACACUGGGACUGAGACACGGCCCAGACUCCUACGGGAGGCAGCAGUGGGGAAUUUUGGACAAUGGGCGAAAGCCUGAUCCAGCAAUGCCGCGUGUGUGAAGAAGGCCUUCGGGUUGUAAAGCACUUUUGUCCGGAAAGAAAUCCUUGGCUCUAAUACAGUCGGGGGAUGACGGUACCGGAAGAAUAAGCACCGGCUAACUACGUGCCAGCAGCCGCGGUAAUACGUAGGGUGCAAGCGUUAAUCGGAAUUACUGGGCGUAAAGCGUGCGCAGGCGGUUUGCUAAGACCGAUGUGAAAUCCCCGGGCUCAACCUGGGAACUGCAUUGGUGACUGGCAGGCUAGAGUAUGGCAGAGGGGGGUAGAAUUCCACGUGUAGCAGUGAAAUGCGUAGAGAUGUGGAGGAAUACCGAUGGCGAAGGCAGCCCCCUGGGCCAAUACUGACGCUCAUGCACGAAAGCGUGGGGAGCAAACAGGAUUAGAUACCCUGGUAGUCCACGCCCUAAACGAUGUCAACUAGUUGUUGGGGAUUCAUUUCCUUAGUAACGUAGCUAACGCGUGAAGUUGACCGCCUGGGGAGUACGGUCGCAAGAUUAAAACUCAAAGGAAUUGACGGGGACCCGCACAAGCGGUGGAUGAUGUGGAUUAAUUCGAUGCAACGCGAAAAACCUUACCUACCCUUGACAUGGUCGGAAUCCUGCUGAGAGGCGGGAGUGCUCGAAAGAGAACCGGCGCACAGGUGCUGCAUGGCUGUCGUCA